This 253-nucleotide ribosomal RNA is filed under the name uncultured bacterium. Its description in RNAcentral is "partial 16S ribosomal RNA". It matches the Rfam family "Bacterial small subunit ribosomal RNA", at positions 524 to 776 of the family's 1533-position model. The record is from RNAcentral.
UACGUAGGGGGCUAGCGUUGUCCGGAUUUAUUGGGCGUAAAGAGCGCGCAGGCGGCUUGGCAAGUCGGGUGUGAAAUCCCGGGGCUCAACCCCGGGACUGCAUUCGAUACUGUCAGGCUAGAGGUAGGUAGGGGAGAUCGGAAUUCCUGGUGUAGCGGUGAAAUGCGCAGAUAUCAGGAGGAACACCGGUGGCGAAGGCGGAUCUCUGGGCCUUACCUGACGCUCAGGCGCGAAAGCUAGGGGAGCGAACAGG